This 487-nucleotide ribosomal RNA is filed under the name Alternaria tenuissima. RNAcentral describes it as "eukaryotic LSU rRNA". The stretch from base 151 to 304 matches the Rfam family "5.8S ribosomal RNA". The record is from RNAcentral. Lineage: Eukaryota; Fungi; Ascomycota; Dothideomycetes; Pleosporales; Pleosporaceae.
CGGGCUGGACCUCUCGGGGUUACAGCCUUGCUGAAUUAUUCACCCUUGUCUUUUGCGUACUUCUUGUUUCCUUGGUGGGUUCGCCCACCACUAGGACAAACAUAAACCUUUUGUAAUUGCAAUCAGCGUCAGUAACAAAUUAAUAAUUACAACUUUCAACAACGGAUCUCUUGGUUCUGGCAUCGAUGAAGAACGCAGCGAAAUGCGAUAAGUAGUGUGAAUUGCAGAAUUCAGUGAAUCAUCGAAUCUUUGAACGCACAUUGCGCCCUUUGGUAUUCCAAAGGGCAUGCCUGUUCGAGCGUCAUUUGUACCCUCAAGCUUUGCUUGGUGUUGGGCGUCUUGUCUCUAGCUUUGCUGGAGACUCGCCUUAAAGUAAUUGGCAGCCGGCCUACUGGUUUCGGAGCGCAGCACAAGUCGCACUCUCUAUCAGCAAAGGUCUAGCAUCCAUUAAGCCUUUUUUUCAACUUUUGACCUCGGAUCAGGUAGG